RNAcentral lists this unclassified non-coding RNA (346 nucleotides) under soil metagenome. RNAcentral describes it as "partial contains 5.8S ribosomal RNA, internal transcribed spacer 2, and large subunit ribosomal RNA". The stretch from base 1 to 119 matches the Rfam family "5.8S ribosomal RNA", at positions 35 to 154 of the family's 154-position model. The record is from RNAcentral.
GAUGAAGAACGUAGCGAAAUGCGAUACGUAAUGUGAAUUGCAAAUUCAGUGAAUCAUCGAGUCUUUGAACGCACAUUGCGCCCCCUGGUAUUCCGGGGGGCAUGCCUGUCCGAGCGUCAUUGCUGCCCUCAAGCACGGCUUGUGUGUUGGGCCCCGUCCUCCGAUCCCGGGGGACGGGCCCGAAAGGCAGCGGCGGCACCGCGUCCGGUCCUCGAGCGUAUGGGGCUUUGUCACCCGCUCUGUAGGCCCGGCCGGCGCUUGCCGAUCAACCCAAAUUUUUUAUCCAGGUUGACCUCGGAUCAGGUAGGGAUACCCGCUGAACUUAAGCAUGUCAAUAAGCGGAGGA